GAUGAACGCUGGCGGCGUGCCUAAUACAUGCAAGUCGAGCGAACAGACGAGGAGCUUGCUCCUCUGACGUUAGCGGCGGACGGGUGAGUAAAACGUGGAUAACCUACCUAUAAGACUGGGAUAACUUCGGGAAACCGGAGCUAAUACCGGAUAAUAUAUUGAACCGCAUGGUUCAAUAGUGAAAGACGGUUUUGCUGUCACUUAUAGAUGGAUCCGCGCCGCAUUAGCUAGUUGGUAAGGUAAAGGCUUACCAAGGCAACGAUGCGUAGCCGACCCGAGAGGGUGAUCGUCCACACAGGAACUGAGACACGGGCCAGACUCCUACGGAGGGCAGCAGUAGGGAAUCUUCCGCAAUGGGCGAAAGCCUGACGGAGCAACGCCGCGUGAGUGAUGAAGGUCUUCGGAUCGUAAAACUCUGUUAUUAGGGAAGAACAAAUGUGUAAGUAACUAUGCACGUCUUGACGGUACCUAAUCAGAAAGCCACGGCUAACUACGUG
This 497-nucleotide ribosomal RNA is filed under the name uncultured bacterium. Its description in RNAcentral is "partial 16S ribosomal RNA". It matches the Rfam family "Bacterial small subunit ribosomal RNA", at positions 28 to 507 of the family's 1533-position model. The record is from RNAcentral.